Molecule: long non-coding RNA, 2415 nt
Filed under: Homo sapiens (human)
Lineage: Eukaryota; Metazoa; Chordata; Mammalia; Primates; Hominidae
Description: non-protein coding lnc-EYS-1:1
Source: RNAcentral
AAAAUUUCUAAGCCUUUAUUGCAUAUUAAUAAAACAAAUCUUUGAAUAUACAGCAAUGUAAAACUUUUAAAAAUAUUAAAUUCCUAUAACUAGGGACCGUUGGUAUGAAGAAGGGAUGAUGAGCACUGGUACAGAGCACUCUGUACCAACACACAGAAUUUACUGUUCUGCAAAUGACCAAUAGUAAAAAUUUUAAAGAUGGCACAAUCCUAGCAGGCAAUCUUUCUUUUGUUUACAAGAUACAACAUUUUAACAGUUAUUUAAAUGUAAUCCUGAAGCAGCCUGCAAAUUUUACCUUUUGCUUUUAGUUCUGUCAGUGUGGUCCCUAUCUUUGUGGUACCUAUCCCUGUCCUUUUCUCCUUCUCUGUGUUUACUUUUCUCUCGUUCUUUGUCCUUCUCAUAGUCUUCACUUUUAGGUUUAUCUGGCUUCUUGUCUACAUUCCUACUAUCUCUGCUUGCUUUUCCAUCUGUUCCUCGAUCACCAUGUGAUAACCGUGCCCUCUCUUUAUCUUUGUGCCCUUCCUCCCUGCUUUUUCUGUCUCUGUCCUUGUCUUGGCUUCUGUCUCUGCGUCUAUGCCUUUCAGAUUCUUGCUCCCAUUCCUUUUCAUGUCGCUCUCUUUUCAAAUGGUGUGAAUCACUAUAAAAUCUCUGGCGGUCCCCUUUACCCCUAUUAAAUGGCCUAUCCAGUUGCUGUUGGUCUUGCCUACCCCAAGGGUCACUAUGGCGCCUUUCUGGCCUCCGAAUGUCUUUAACCUGGUAAAAAUUCUGCGGGCCUAUAUACCUUGAUGCUUGUGAGAGAGGACCCAUCAUACGCUGUGGCUGACCUGGGAGAUGAACAACAGGUGGCCAGGGAACCAUGGGAUUUUGAGCAAAGCCAAAGCCUGGAGGGGGAAGUAAUGGAGGUGGCAAAUGUGGUGGAAAUCCAAACAUGCUUUGUGGGGGAAAAUUAGGAGGCCCUGGAAAUGGAAAUCCAGGUGGGCUAGACUUGAGAUGCUGAAGGUUGGGCUGCUGUGGCCUCAUGGGUGAAAAGUUUGUACUUGUUCUGGGGCUGGUGCUUCUGGAAGUAAAGGUGAUGCUUUUAGAAGGAAAUUCUGAUGGACAUGUGUUUCCAACUUCAAAAUGAGAUGUCGCUACUGCUGAUCCUCUUCGAAAUGGGUGCACAGUUUCAAUAUUUUGCAUUAAAAUAUCCUCCUGUAAGGGUUUUGCUUGUUCUGCUUGAGAAGUCUGUAUGUUUUCUACUGAUGGUGAGUUUUGUGCAACUUUUAAAUUGUCACUCUGCUGAACACACGAGUUUUUCUCUGCAGAACACAACUUUUCCUCUACAUUGAUUUGUUCUGUUAAGUGCUCCUUGUUGUGUGACAGGCCAGGCAGCAUGUGUUUUUCUCCAUUCCGGCAACUAUCUCCAUCUUUGCUUUCUGAAGUAGUUACAGGCUGACUUCGUCCUGCUGCUUGCCUAGGAUCCCUUUUCAGGUUGAUAAACUGUGGAGACCUCGCUGUAUUAGCAACAAGGUUUUCACUACAGCUCACAUUACCAUCUAUGUUUCCUUUUCCUACAUUAGAUCUGCAUGGAGAACUAUUUGAAGUCUGGUUAUCUUGCAAAUUAUUCUCUUGAUCUUCCUGAAGCUGUCUUUUUAAUGUUUUCUCUUUACUCUCCACAGUUUCCUCUUGUUUUGACUGAAUUGAUAAAUUUGUUAAAAAUGCUUCUGUAGAAACAUCUGGUGGCUUACCUCUGAGACUAAGACUCGUCAAAGACCCUGCAGAAAUGGAAGAGGACCCUACUACUGAUGUUUCUAUUUCUGCUGACUUAUCUGUAGAUUCUGAAAUAUUAUCUACUUUAACUUUUAUCUCCUUGUUUUCACCAUCAGUUACUUCCACAUUAUCUGUUUUCUCUAUUUUUGAGUUGGUCUGCUCAUUUAAAAAUGGAAUUUCUUUAACAGUGUUUUGUUCCAUCACUGACUGGGCCUGGUCAUAUACUUGACCAGUGGUGCCCAAAAGGCUUUGAAGUAUAUCAUCCACAGGAAGAGGUUUAUUUGCUAAUUCCAGAGUAGUAGGUUGAUUCUCCCAGGUUUUUUCAGUUUCAGUUUAUCCUCUUCCUUAAAAUGCUCAACGCCUGGGUGUUCAAGCUCUUCCUUCACGUGACUAUUGGUUUUCAUUGCUGGGGCCUGUUGCUGAGGCUUAUGACACUGUUUCUGGCUAGAAUGUGAUACAUGUCCAGUUUGUGCAGGAUGAUGAGGUUCUUUCAAGCAACCAGGAUGAGCGUGUGACUUAUCACUCAAAGAAUGAGUUAAGGGCUUGAAAAUUUGUACUAAAGUUUGAUCCUGUAAUGUUUUUUUCAGUACAGAAUGAGCUUGGUUUUUCACAGAUUUAACCCCAGAAUUGCAACUCUGAAUCUUUGGCUCCUUAUCAAUUUGUUUU